AUGUCCUCCACCGCAUCACCCGGCGUAUCAUGCAUGGGUAGCUCAGGAUCAGGCCAUCCUCUCCGCGAUCCAGUCAUCGCUCACCGAGGGGGUGUCCUCCUUGGUUCUCUUCGCUGCCACGUCUCAGGAGGCGUGGUCUGCUCUGCACACGAGCUUCGCCUCUCAGCAGCAUGCGCGCGCUCACACUAUUCGUACGGAGCUGGGGGAGACCAAGCUUCUUGA
This 222-nucleotide ribosomal RNA is filed under the name Triticum aestivum (bread wheat). RNAcentral describes it as "partial small subunit ribosomal RNA". Lineage: Eukaryota; Viridiplantae; Streptophyta; Magnoliopsida; Poales; Poaceae. The record is from RNAcentral.